CUGGCUCAGGAUGAACGCUAGCGACAGGCUUAACACAUGCAAGUCGAGGGGCAGCAUAAAAGUAGCAAUACUUGGUGGCGACCGGCGCACGGGUGAGUAACGCGUAUGCAACCUACCUAUCAGAGGGGAAUAACCCGGCGAAAGUCGGACUAAUACCGCAUAAAACAGGGGCACCGCAUGGUGAUAUUUGUUAAAGAAAUUCGCUGAUAGAUGGGCAUGCGUUCCAUUAGGUAGUUGGUGAGGUAACGGCUCACCAAGCCGACGAUGGAUAGGGAACUGAGAGGUUGGUCCCCCACACUGGUACUGAGACACGGACCAGACUCCUACGGGAGGCAGCAGUGAGGAAUAUUGGUCAAUGGGCGGGAGCCUGAACCAGCCAAGUCGCGUAGGAAGGAAGAAGGAUCUAUGGUUACGUAAACUUCUUUGCAGGGGAAUAAAGUGCAGGACGUGUCCUGUUUUGUAUGUACCCUGAGAAUAAGGAUCGGCUAACUCCGUGCCAGCCGCCGC
Molecule: ribosomal RNA, 507 nt
Filed under: uncultured bacterium
Lineage: Bacteria
Description: bacterial SSU rRNA
Rfam family: Bacterial small subunit ribosomal RNA
Source: RNAcentral